This is a long non-coding RNA of Orcinus orca (killer whale), 242 nucleotides long. RefSeq lists it as uncharacterized. Lineage: Eukaryota; Metazoa; Chordata; Mammalia; Artiodactyla; Delphinidae. The record is from RefSeq and is a predicted model, not a curated record. The transcript is spliced from 3 exons.
CCACUCCAGCUAGAGUUGAAGCCCACAAUAGUGAGGUUGUUGCUCUGUGUGUCUUACCCUGCUCAGCUGCAGACAGAAGAUCCUUCAUUGCAUUCCUUUCCAGUGAUACCUGAGAGAGAGCAUACAUCCUGUCCACACUGGUGUCUUACUUCAGUUAUAAUCUUCAAGGACAAGGAAAAAGCAUGAAAUAUAUCACCCAGAGAACACAGGAAAGAAUCCUCCAGCAUCCAUUUCCAAACCCC